GAUGAACGCUAGCGACAGGCUUAACACAUGCAAGUCGAGGGGCAGCGGGAGUGAAGCUUGCUUCACUCGCCGGCGACCGGCGCACUGGUGAGUAAUGCGUAUGCGACCUGCCUGCGGCCGGGGGAUAAUCCAUAGAAAUGUGGUCUAAUACCCCAUAUGCCGGUCUCCUGCAUGGGAGACCGGUGAAAGGAGAGAUCCGGGCGCGGAUGGGCAUGCGUCUGAUUAGCUGGUUGGCGGGGCAACGGCCCACCAAGGCAACGAUCAGUAGGGGUUCUGAGAGGAAGGUCCCCCACAUUGGAACUGAGACACGGUCCAAACUCCUACGGGAGCAGCAGUGAGGAUAUUGGUCAAUGGGCGAGAGCCUGAACCAGCCAAGUAGCGUGCAGGACGACGGCCCUAUGGGUUGUAAACUGCUUUUUAUAAAGGGUAAUAAAGUGAGUCUCGUGAGGCUUUUUGCAUGUACCUUAUGAAUAAGGACCGGCUAA
Molecule: ribosomal RNA, 485 nt
Filed under: uncultured bacterium
Lineage: Bacteria
Description: bacterial SSU rRNA
Rfam family: Bacterial small subunit ribosomal RNA
Source: RNAcentral